UACGUAGGGUCCAAGCGUUGUCCGGAUUUAUUGGGCGUAAAGAGCUCGUAGGCGGUUCCGUAAGUCGGAUGUGAAAACUCGGGGCUCAACCCCGAGACGCCAUCCGAUACUGCGGUGACUUGAGUCUGGUAGGGGAACACGGAAUUCCUGGUGUAGCGGUGAAAUGCGCAGAUAUCAGGAGGAACACCGAUGGCGAAGGCGGGUCUCUGGGCCGUAACUGACGCUGAGGAGCGAAAGCGUGGGGAGCGAACAGG
This 254-nucleotide ribosomal RNA is filed under the name uncultured bacterium. RNAcentral's name for it is "partial 16S ribosomal RNA". It matches the Rfam family "Bacterial small subunit ribosomal RNA", at positions 524 to 776 of the family's 1533-position model. The record is from RNAcentral.